UCCUUCCUGUGAGAUGCCGGUGCUCCAGU
Molecule: non-coding RNA, 29 nt
Filed under: Homo sapiens (human)
Lineage: Eukaryota; Metazoa; Chordata; Mammalia; Primates; Hominidae
Source: RNAcentral